RNAcentral lists this ribosomal RNA (429 nucleotides) under Chloroflexota bacterium. Its description in RNAcentral is "Chloroflexi bacterium partial 16S ribosomal RNA". It matches the Rfam family "Bacterial small subunit ribosomal RNA", at positions 355 to 776 of the family's 1533-position model. The record is from RNAcentral. Lineage: Bacteria; Bacillati; Chloroflexota.
UGGGGAAUAUUGCACAAUGGGCGCAAGCCUGAUGCAGCCAUGCCGCGUGUGUGAAGAAGGCCUUCGGGUUGUAAAGUACUUUCAGCGGGGAGGAAGGCGUUAAGGUUAAUAACCUUGGCGAUUGACGUUACCCGCAGAAGAAGCACCGGCUAACUCCGUGUCAGCAGCCGCGGUAAUACGGAGGGUGCAAGCGUUAAUCGGAAUUACUGGGCGUAAAGCGCACGCAGGCGGUCUGUCAAGUCGGAUGUGAAAUCCCCGGGCUCAACCUGGGAACUGCAUUCGAAGCUGGCAGGCUAGAGUCUUGUAGAGGGGGGUAGAAUUCCAGGUGUAGCGGUGAAAUGCGUAGAGAUCUGGGGGAAUACCGGUGGCGAAGGCGGCCCCCUGGACAAAGACUGACGCUCAGGUGCGAAAGCGUGGGGAGCAAACAGG